ACGGAGGGUGCGAGCGUUAUUCGGAAUUACUGGGCGUAAAGCGCGUGCAGGCGGGAAGGCAAGUCUGAUGUGAAAGCCCCGGGCUUAACCUGGGAAGUGCAUUGGAAACUGCCUUUCUUGAGUACUGGAGAGGAAGGGGGAAUUCCCGGUGUAGAGGUGAGAGUCGUAGAGAUCGGUAGGAAUAUCAGUGGCGAAGGCGCCCAUCUGGAGGGAUACGGACGCUGAGCCGCGAAAGCGGUGGGAGCAAACAG
RNAcentral lists this ribosomal RNA (251 nucleotides) under uncultured prokaryote. RNAcentral describes it as "partial 16S rRNA". It matches the Rfam family "Bacterial small subunit ribosomal RNA", at positions 525 to 775 of the family's 1533-position model. The record is from RNAcentral.